CGACUCUGGUUUCUCUUCAUUACGCACAAGCCUUUCGCCUUUUACUAAAGACUUCCGUGGAAGGAACACUUACGAGUUCAACGUGUUUUGGAAGGGCUUUGCUUCUGGCAGAGCC
Molecule: small nuclear RNA, 115 nt
Filed under: Salmo salar (Atlantic salmon)
Lineage: Eukaryota; Metazoa; Chordata; Actinopteri; Salmoniformes; Salmonidae
Description: U5 spliceosomal RNA (ENSSSAG00000085521.1)
Rfam family: U5 spliceosomal RNA
About the family: U5 RNA is a component of both types of known spliceosome. The precise function of this molecule is unknown, though it is known that the 5' loop is required for splice site selection and p220 binding, and that both the 3' stem-loop and the Sm site are important for Sm protein binding and cap methylation.
Source: RNAcentral